RNAcentral lists this unclassified non-coding RNA (314 nucleotides) under Hevea brasiliensis (rubber tree). The record is from RNAcentral. Lineage: Eukaryota; Viridiplantae; Streptophyta; Magnoliopsida; Malpighiales; Euphorbiaceae.
ACAUCAAAAAUAUUUAUCACAAUCCUAUUUGCAUCACGAGGAUUGCUUGGUUCAUGGCUGCUGUAGGUAACCAAAUAUUUCUCAACAGGAGAAAAGUCAAUCAGUUUAACCUGAGGAUGAGCAUAACGCAUUAACCUAUUAAAGGUGCUUGCACCACCCCAGACAGCAGCACCCUGCCUGUGAACUGUUGCCAAGUAUGUCCCAAGAGGGGACCACUGAACAAAACUCUCAGUCCAAUAAGCUCGUUUGUAAACAGGAUCAGGUUUCAACUGUCUUGCAUCAUUCCAGAAAACCUCAGUAUCUGAGCCAGCACG